UACGAAGGGUGCAAGCGUUACUCGGAAUUACUGGGCGUAAAGCGUGCGUAGGUGGUUUGUUAAGUCUGUUGUGAAAGCCCCGGGCUCAACCUGGGAAUGGCAAUGGAUACUGGCAGGCUAGAGUGCGGUAGAGGGUAGUGGAAUUCCCGGUGUAGCGGUGAAAUGCGUAGAGAUCGGGAGGAACACCUGUGGCGAAAGCGGCUCACUGGACCAUAACUGACGCUGAUGCACGAAAGCUAGGGGAGCAAACAGG
This 253-nucleotide ribosomal RNA is filed under the name uncultured bacterium. Its description in RNAcentral is "partial 16S ribosomal RNA". It matches the Rfam family "Bacterial small subunit ribosomal RNA", at positions 524 to 776 of the family's 1533-position model. The record is from RNAcentral.